RNAcentral lists this ribosomal RNA (537 nucleotides) under Entamoeba polecki. Its description in RNAcentral is "bacterial SSU rRNA". It matches the Rfam family "Eukaryotic small subunit ribosomal RNA", at positions 50 to 599 of the family's 1831-position model. Lineage: Eukaryota; Evosea; Mastigamoebida; Endamoebidae. The record is from RNAcentral.
CAUGCAUGUGUAAGUAUAAGUUAAAUAAUGCGAAACUGCGGAAGGCUCAUUAUAACAGUUAUAGUUUUGAUGGUUAGUAAAAAAAGGAUAACUCUUGUUAAUUGCAGAGCUAAUACUUGAAUUUACUAUAAUCUAUAUGAUUAUAGCGUAAUAAAGCAAUUUAUUACAUAGGAAUAGCUUUUUGAGAAGAAGGUUAAAUUGAGAAUUGAUGAAACUUAAAUGUUUUUACAAGUAACUGUUUUAAAUAUCUGACCUAUCAACUUGAAGGUAUGAUAGAGGCAUACCUAAGUGAUAACGGGUAACGAGAAAUAAGGGUUUGAUUUCGGAGAGGGAGCUUUAAAAAUGGCUACCACUUCUAAGGAAGGCAGCAGGCGCGCAAAUUACCCACUUUUAAUUUAGAGAGGUAGUGACGAUAAUUAAUAGAGUUGGUCUAUUCGAUCAAUUCAAUUAUAAUGAUUAGAGUUUAAAAAAAUUUAAGAAAUCGAUCGGAGGGCAAGUCUGGUGCCAGCAGCCGCGGUAAUUCCAGCUCCAAUAGUG